UAAGAACACGUUCACUAUAAAUCAUUAUGGAUAUUUCUUUUCAGAAUAUCAAUCAAUAUCAAUAUCAAAGGUCAAUGUGUUUCGUUAGAUUUGUGGCGGCGGGAUUAUCGUCAUUAACUAAUUACUUGAUAUCAGAUUUUAAUGGGGAGUGGUGUAAUUCCCGCACGACUGUUGACUUUCAUUGUAAUUGCUUGAGCUGGUUCCUGGGCCGCCUCAGAUAGCAGGAUGAUGUGUCAAGUAUCAGCUUGACAGGAAGGCUUUCCGGUUAUGACUGAGGCCGGCAUCUCACCUGUCCUGGCUACGCCAAAUCACUGCGGAUGCCGGAUGCCGAGGACCGGAGAGCCAACCGCUUUGAGGCGUGAGCUCUGUGGCGUGGCUCGAGUGACGGCUACGGCGCCGUCGACCUGGUUGAAUAGCUGGGGCCUGGACGAGGGUGCCCUUAGUACGGUGGCCAAUCGGUUACGUCCGAGGGGCGCUCGAACACGCUGCCGUCGCGUGGCUGCCGGCGGCCGCUCCCUCGCACGUGAAUCUUCUGGAGCGAGGACUGCGAGAGGCGGCCGCAUCAUCACCUGUGUCCGCGCUCAACACCGUGCCACGCACUAAUGGCGGAAGCCCGACUUUCUCCGAUGGAGGAGCUGGACGCUGGCUGCCAGGCUGCUGGGGAGGGCGCUGGCUCUGCCAUAAGGGGACCCCCUGCGCGCGACCGCCAAGGCCUCGGCACCGGCGCGCCUGUCUUCGGUACGAGGCUGGAGAUUGCGAGGCCGCCAGGCCUGGGCGAGCGCGAGAAUCCCACCGUGUCAACAGACGGCUGGCGUCACCUUCCGGUUGGACGUGUGCCCGAUCCGGGCUGAGGCCACGGCGGCGGAAAGGGAAAUCGUGGCUACGCUGCACCUCGCGUUCCUGCCCCUGUGUGCUGUCCGGCUUUGGACGGACGGAUCUGCGGAGGGCGGAGUCUUCAGGUGCUGGGCGGGAGCCGUGCUGGUCUGGCUGUAUUUGUAUUUGUAUUUACAUUUAACCCUCGCCCGCACAUGCCAUUUUCCCAUCCUAGAACGCACAUGGGGGGGGUGGUUGCCACCCCCCCCGCGCCAUUUCGUUCCUGUUGGAGAUAGAGCUUAGCAGUAAAGACCAAAAAGAUUCUUUGGGAAAAGACGAAUCCAAUGAUACCCAGUUUUACCUUCUCAGGUCAGUCAUUGACCUUCCAGGUCAGGUCAAACUAAAAAAUGUUGCUGUUUUGGGUCACCGUUGGAUAUCAAGUGCGCUGCUUAUCAAAUACCGAUGACGAUGCUGUUUUCUGGUGCCAAGCCAGCUAGAACCUCUUUGUCACACUAUCCGACCAGAAUUUUGCUGCUGAGGUCAUUUCAGGUCAAGUUAGGUCAAGGUCAAUUAUAUGUGUUUGUAUGUCUGUGUGUGUCUGUGUGUAUACUGAUGUGUGCACCGAUCGUUUUUGGGUCCAUAUCACAUGAAAUCAUGAUCUGAGAAGCUUUUACCAAAAAUGCAGUCAAAAAAAUUCACAAAAAGUAAAUUCAGCUUGCCUAAAACGCAAUUAUCUUAGAUGACCUAGGUUGACCUUGACCCUGACCUUGACCCCUGUACAUCGUCGAACAACAUGUUCCAUGAUAGGUGGGAGGUAAGACUGGCAAAAAAGGCCGAAAUCAGGGUGUCAAAAGCUCACAAGACCCAUGGCAAACGCAAGAUGUUGAGAAUUGGCCAUUUGGGUCAUGACAUGACCUGAAAAACAAGGUCAUAUCUCCGAAACCAAAAACCACAGAAACUUGAAAUUUUCAGUGGACAUCAAGAAAGGAUAGACGAGCAGCUAUACGAAAAAUCAGCUUUCUAGCUUUAAAAAUGUUGAGUGCAGAGCAGAAAGACUGCCUGGGGGGGGUGGCAACCACCCCCCCCAUGUGCGGGCGAGGGUUAAGAGCGAUCCGCAUACAAAGUGCGUGGCGAUUACUGCUCAGAAUCCGUAUCCGCGGCUGCUAAUCUAAUCAUUCAAAACAUUUGCACAUUCACUCACGUCAAAACAAGGACAAGGCUGGACGAAGAGGCCGAGGAACUGCGGGCCCCGGCCGGAGAGCUGUGCUUUAGCUACCGCGCGGAGAUGGUGGCGCUGGUGACCGGUCCGGAGACCCUACUCGCGGAAGAGACAGAGACCAGGACCUGCGUUCCGUACCUAUCUGCUAACUGUGCGGUGGUGCUGGUGUAGUGCAGCAUUUUUGGAUGGAUAGCUACAUUUCACGAUUAAAUAGCUGUUACGUUUCAGUGCAGGUGGCGUGACGAACAAUGUGGUAGUUAUCUGUUGGCCACUUCUGCGGCCGCUGCUAUUUCCUACUCGAAGGCGGGCGCGCUGUUUGGCUGGGCCGCCAGGAUGUUCCCAUUAUGUGUCGACGACAAAGCGAGUACAUUCGUGUUCUUUUAAUGCACAGAGGUCUGUUGUAUAUUUGAAGUUUUAUUUUAAGUUGACGAUUGCGAAGGGCAGAUUCAUCUUCUCUCUUUCAUUUGUGUUGCCACUUUAUCGUUCAUGUUUGUUAUAAGUGUCCAUGCGGCUUGGUUGUCAUCUUUAUUCCUGAUGUAUUUUAUUUUACGAACAUGCUGGUGAUCAAUGCAAUACACUUUUGGUUA
Long non-coding RNA from Amphibalanus amphitrite, 2619 nucleotides. RefSeq lists it as uncharacterized. The transcript has 2 exons. NCBI's taxonomy places the organism in Eukaryota, Metazoa, Arthropoda, Thecostraca, Balanomorpha, Balanidae. The record is from RefSeq and is a predicted model, not a curated record.